GAUCAUGGCUCAGGAUGAACGCUAGCUACAGGCUUAACACAUGCAAGUCGAGGGGCAGCAUGGUCUUAGCUUGCUAAGGCCGAUGGCGACCGGUGCACGGGUGAGUAACACGUAUCCAACCUGCCGUCUACUCUUGGACAGCCUUCUGAAAGGAAGAUUAAUACAAGAUGGCGUCAUGAGUCCGCAUGUUCACAUGAUUAAAGGUAUUCCGGUAGACGAUGGGGA
This 225-nucleotide ribosomal RNA is filed under the name uncultured bacterium. Its description in RNAcentral is "partial 16S ribosomal RNA". It matches the Rfam family "Bacterial small subunit ribosomal RNA", at positions 15 to 231 of the family's 1533-position model. The record is from RNAcentral.